UUAAGCAAACAAACUUCAGGUCCCUUCUUGGUCUGAAAGUCACUUGAUCACUGGUUUCACUGUCUGGUUUAUUUUUGAAGAAUACGCGAAUAUACUGCAAAGAAACUUAAAAUAACGAUAAAAAGUGAUGUAUAUUCAGACUCAAGGACCAAGCCAAGAGGUUUUUGCGUCACCUCCAGCGAAAAAAAUGUCGUGGCUGACUUUGUUGAUAACACUGGCGGCCACGGCAGCAACCUGCCAUUCCUACGCCGAAGCAGAGGCUCUGUCCAUACUAGGCCUACGAGAAGAAGGAAUUCGGGAAACGAGAAGAAUAUUGCCAUGGAAAUUUCUUCCUCCGGUACUCUUCCACCAAGAUCAGAAGCUGCACGUUGCCUUCGAAGGAAGCAUCCACGUAUCAACCGCUGUUUUUUACAUGGCCGUAAACCCUCUGAGCAAGAGCUCACAAACAAGGUAUAAGUUCUCCUUCGACUGCAGUCCCGCUGAUCCUAAAGGUAAAUUGUGUGAGGCCACCGGUGGGCCUAUCCUGAAGUCAGGCGAUCUGGUGCACUACAGCAUCAAAGUGGUACUAAGCGAAGCGAGGAUCAUGUGGUUGACGAAUCAGAGGUGGACCGUUGAAUAUCCCCCAGCAACGUUGUUCCCGGGUUAGCAGACUUUUAUCUGAAAUCUCUAAGGAGCCGUUUCAAAGGCAAACCCCAACAACAACUACCAGUACCUACAAUUACUACUAAUAGACCUUUAUCAGAAUCUACAAGGAGCCAUUUCAAGGGAAAUUUGCAAGUACUACUACUACUAUACUACUACUACUACUACUACUACUACUACUACUACUACUACUACUACUACUACUACAAAUAUCAACAAGGACGGCCCUCACCGAGAAAUUUUUCAUCGGAAUCUUGCACCUCUGAGACGUCUCUACCCCAACAUGGAUAUACCUCUGGAAAGCCGAAGAUACUUUUUUGUUUUUUAAAUUGUGUUUGUUAAGACACGACUACUACAGCUACUGAGUGCCUACCGUGAUGAAAUCAGAUGAAAGUCUUUCAUUGGGUGGAUAAGAUACAAAUUCUUAAUUGCCAAGAAAUCAGUCUUGUUAAACUGUCAAAGAGUGACGAAAUCGUUGUUUUCAGAUGCAUCUGCUUCGAGUUAUUUUCCACACCAGCACGAUUUAAAACAGUAAAAAAUGUUCUCAUUAUUUCUGAUAGAUGUCCCUGUCCAUCGUGUGAAGAUUAAAACGAGGGGAAAAACUCAAUGCCCAACUCUUCCGAUGACUGAAUUAGGCCCACCGAAAUUAUCACGGCAUCGUGCCCCCCUAUUUUUUUUAUAUUUCACGUGAUAUUUUUUUUCAUACUAGACUCAUUUUGAAUCCCUAAAGCCAUAAUGACAACAUCGCAUUCAUGCUUUGUAAGAACAUCAACUCUUGGGCAAUAAAAUAAAAUCAUGAAAAAUCAGGUCCAGAAUAGCUGGUGCAAAUGAGAAGCAAUUAAGGCGAGAUUAAAAUCCCAAAUUUUUAAGUGAGGUCAGAUUCAGAAACUUAACUGAAUGAAACUAUGAAAGUGAGAAUACUGAAACAGUUUUGCUAACGUGACACUCAAGAUCUCCCGUUUUCGUCAUCUUUAUCGUCAGUUUUGUGUUGCCUUAAUUGUCAACGGUCAAGAUUAUUCGAGGUUGGAGUGUAUUUUUGGAACCAGAUAACUUACUGUCAGUUAAGCAUAUCUAGAAAUAAUUAAGCACUAAGCGAAUAGAAAUUAUCAAGUGUCCAGGAAGUCAGGUCAAGGUAUAUUGAAAAGAAUUUUAUUCAAACAUUCAGUUUUUUCCCCAAAGCAAAUUUUAUAAUGACACGGCAGGCACUUUGGAACUAAAAUUUCUUCCAGAUCGGUUUCCAAAAACUUCCAGUUCAUGAUAUCCUGUCCCACACCAUUGGCAAUUUGUAAUAAAAUAUAUACAUCACUUAAGUGGACAGUGUUCUGUAAUGCUUCCCAGAUCUUAAAAUAUAAAUUGUGGAAAAUAA
This is a long non-coding RNA of Macrobrachium nipponense, 2008 nucleotides long. RefSeq lists it as uncharacterized. The transcript is spliced from 4 exons. NCBI's taxonomy places the organism in Eukaryota, Metazoa, Arthropoda, Malacostraca, Decapoda, Palaemonidae. The record is from RefSeq and is a predicted model, not a curated record.